AUCGGGAGGGGACUGAGCCUGA
RNAcentral lists this microRNA (22 nucleotides) under Anas platyrhynchos (mallard). RNAcentral's name for it is "miR-484-x". The record is from RNAcentral. Lineage: Eukaryota; Metazoa; Chordata; Aves; Anseriformes; Anatidae.